Molecule: ribosomal RNA, 377 nt
Filed under: uncultured bacterium
Lineage: Bacteria
Description: bacterial SSU rRNA
Rfam family: Bacterial small subunit ribosomal RNA
Source: RNAcentral
CUACGGAGGGUGCGAGCGUUAAUUGGAAUCACUGGGCGUAAAGCGUACGUAGGCGGCGUGUCAAGUCAGGUGUGAAAGCCCUCGGCUCAACCGGGGAAUUGCACUUGAAACUGAUAUGCUAGAGUUCUGGAGGGGGUAGCGGAAUUCCCGGUGUAGGAGUGAAAUCCGUAGAUAUUAGGAGGAACACCAGUGGCGAAGGCGGCUACCUGGACAGUAACUGACGCUGAGGUACGAAAGCUAGGGGAGCAAACAGGAUUAGUUACCCUGGUAGUCCUAGCCGUAAACGAUGGGUACUAGGUGUAGGUGGUUUCGAUACCAUCUGUGCCGCAGUUAACGCAAUAAGUACCCCGCCUGGGGAGUACGUUCGCAAGAAUGAA